CAUAUCAUAGGGAACAUGUGUACCAAGUUUGAAGUCGAUUGGACUUCAACUUCAUCAAAAACUACCUCGACUAAAAACUUUAACCUGAAGCGGGACAGACGGACGAACGAACGAACGGACGGACGAACGAACGAACGGACGGACGGACGAACGAACGGACGCACAGACCAUAAAACAUAAUGCCCCUCUACUAUCGUAGGUGGGGCAUAAAAAUUUGAU
Molecule: long non-coding RNA, 219 nt
Filed under: Mytilus galloprovincialis (Mediterranean mussel)
Lineage: Eukaryota; Metazoa; Mollusca; Bivalvia; Mytilida; Mytilidae
Source: RNAcentral